Non-coding RNA from Zootoca vivipara (common lizard), 3072 nucleotides. The record is from RefSeq and is a predicted model, not a curated record. NCBI's taxonomy places the organism in Eukaryota, Metazoa, Chordata, Lepidosauria, Squamata, Lacertidae.
GCCCUUCGGCUUCUGGGUGGACAGAUCUUCUGCUCUAUCCAGGCACGUUCACUCAGUGCCACAUCUACGAGACAAAAGUCACUGUGUAUUCCUGCUUUAAAAAGUAGGAAUACACAUUGCUGCUUUAUAACUAGCGGCUUCAUUUAGGCGCCAGGCAAGAACGUUCCUCUUCAACCAGGCCGUCGGCUGAUUAGCAUCCCAUACCCUUUUAUUUUUUAUUUUUAAAUAUAGUUUUCUUUUUUUAUAAAACUUUUCAAACAUUACAUUGACAAACCAACAAUCUAGUCUUUGCUCUUCCGAGUGGAGGACUUCCCACCAUCCAUCUGGUUUUCUUUGAUCAAAUACAUACAGUAAUUACUCUUGCACUUUAAAUUAUAGUUUUCUGAUCUUAAUAAAUUUAGCGUCGUCUCUUUUUCUCUGAUCAUGAAACAUUCCUCAGCUGAUGGGUGCGGGAUUUAUUUCAGUCCUGCUAAUGUCUUCAAAUUUUUGCAAUGAUCAUUCAUAUAACAAAUAAAUUUACUCCAGUCUCUUUGAAACUUUUGGUCCCUGCAGUCCCGGAUUCUACUGGUCAGCUUGGUCAUCUCCAAAUACUGUAGUCCAUUAUCUUCAUCUACCACUCCUCGAUUAUUGAUUGCAUUUUUACGUCGUGAAGCACCCCGAGAUCUCUAGAUGAAAGGCAGCAUAUGAAUUUUAAUAUUAUUACAGUCGCACCUCGGUUCUCGAACGCCUUGGUACUCAUACGUUUUGGCUCCUGAACGCCGCAAACCCAGAAUUUCUGUGCAAGAAGUCUGAAGCCAUCAUGAAGAUGAUGGAGAAUAUGGAACCGGCUGAGAUGACCGGGAGAAUUCGCGACCGGGGAGAAUAAGUGACAGAAGAAGAGUGGAAAGAUUUCAAAAUUUAUUUAAAAAAAUAUGCUAAAAUUGUAUAUUAAGAUUAGAUUUAGAAGUGUAUAGAAACUGUGGAUUUGGGAAUUAUGUGAAGUAAAUAGAUAUACGAGAGAUUUGAAAUUGUAAGGAAUUUUUAAAAAUGAAUUGGAAAUUGCUAAAGAUAAAGGAGAAAUGAACCGCAGGUGGAGGGAACUCAAGGAAGUCCCUUUAUACAAUGUUAAAAGAAAAGGAUUGUGUAUUUGGAUUUUUGUGUUUCCUUUUUAUUGUUAUGUUAUUGUGUUCUGGUUCGCCAGAAGCGGCUUUGUCAUGCUGGCCACAUGACCGGAAGCUGUACGCCGACUCCCUCGGCCAAUAACGUGAGAUGAGCGCGCAACCCGAGUCGGUCACGACUGGACCUAAUGGUCAGGGGUCCCUUUUUUACCUUUAAAUAGACAUUCAAUGUUUUUUGUUGGCAUCCAUCUGUCUUGGGCGACAGUGAAAGAGUCGGCUUUGGGGUGAAGUCAAACCGCUGGAGAGUUACAGCGCCUGCUGUGGCUGUAGAGACAGAUAUGGAAGAGGCAUGUUUUGUUGCAGCUGGGGCAGAUGAAGGCUUCCAGCUGUGCUGCUGAUGGACCAGCAUUUCUUCUCUGCAAUCCUUCCAGCGAUCAUUCCUCCUCUGGUCACUGCUAUGGAUGCACAACCUGAUUGUAUGGCUCAGGCAUUGGGUGUAUGUGCAUUCCAGCCCCGCACCCACCCACAAAAUUUUUUAACUUUAAAAAGGUAAGGGAACUCAGUUCCCCUGAGUUCCUGCUAAAAAACAAAAACAAAACCCUGGUUUUGGCCUAGAAAGAGCAGUGUUAGAAACAGAUAUGAAACCUAGGAGCUAAAUGGCAACUUAAACCUAGAUUAUGGGUGCCGUAAUGGAGUGUUUAGGUGCGUUUUUUUUAAUAGUCAACCCUCAGUUCUCGAACGGCUCCAUUUUCGAACCUUUUGGCUCCUGAACGCCGAAAACCCAGAAGUAACAGCUCCGGUUUUCGAACGAUUUUUGGAAGCCGAAUGUGCUAAGUGGCUUCCGUUUUGAGUUUUGUGUUGAGGCUUCUGCUUUCAGUUUUUGGUUGUCGAACGUUUUGGAAGUCAAAGGGUCUUCCGGAACCGAUUACGUUCGACAACUGAGGUUUGACUGUAUAACAAGAAUACAAAGCUGAAAAUGAAUGAACUGCAGCUAAAAUCUUAUGUUCAUUUUUUCCACAUGGUCUAGUCCUCAUCUUAAGACUGCAAAAAGUAAAUUCGUACUUCCCCUGCCUGCCCCCAAUGAGGGUCCCUUCUCCAGUCUUCAGAGAGUGGCUGGAAGUUAGGAGUUGGAAAAAGCUCCUCCUUUCCUCCCAGCAGUGGCAGUUUAAAUCUGAAAUCUUAGGUGCAGUACUGUGCCCAGAGCACAAAAACUGCUUGCUUUAAUGAAAUUCCAUGUCGCAGGGAUUUUAGAUUUUGAUUUAUGUGGAAAUUCUUUUCCAUUCGGUUGUGUAUUUUUUGAUGUGGUUUAUGUAUUGUUUGCGACUUUUGUAAUUGUGCUAUUGCUGUAUUGUUUUAAUAUUCAAUUGGGAGCCGCCCAGAGUGGCUGGGGAGACUCAGCCAGAUGGGCGGGGUACAAAUAAAAAAUUAUUAUUAUUAUUAUUCCAAGGUGCAUCUGGUGUGGGUGCAGAGAAAGGGCUUCCCUGCUGUGACACCCACCAAGUGGAAGACUCUGCUCAGAUCAGGCGGGCUCUGACGUGAGGAUGUUUCUGUCACAAACGGAAGCCUCUCUCUCCACACCCAGGUGUUUCUUGACGGUACUGACUGUCUUGUUUACUGGGCUGUUCCUUCUGCCACUUCGUUCCUCCCCCCCCCCAAAAAAAUGCCAGUGGGUGUUGCAUUAUUUUAAUAUCUUGCAACCAGCUUUUUUUCCCCUAGAAAUGAAAAGCAAUACAGUAAUUUGUAGUAAGCAUUGUCUGCACAGUGGCAAAACCGCAUUGGGUUCAAGGGGACUUACUCUCAGGUAAGUGUGCAUGGCAGGAGAUGUUUUCCAGCAGGCAGGCUAGAUCAGGGGUAGGCAACCUCAGGCCCGUGGGCAGGAUGCGGCCCAAUCGCCUUCUCAAUCCGGCCCACGGACGGUCCAGGAAUCAGCGUGUUUUUACAUGAGUAGAACGUGUCAUUUUAUUUAAAAUGCACC